UUCCCUCAAAGAGGGUAAAAUGUAGACUUAAAAAAAAAGACAGAAGAUUUGGAUUCACACAACAGUUGUUCUGUGUGAAUCUGUCCAAGUUUGGAAAUUGCCCAUGGGCUUGUCCAGGUGGCAGCUGUGGAGCUCAAAGGAUGAAAGUGAAAGCAAGACCAGCUUCUCUCAUUUUUAUGAAAGGAUAAGUGGAGGUCAGAGCAAGGACAGGCAUCUCAGCCUAAAGCUGAAGCAAUCCAAGGGAGCCAGAGGCAAAAAGCCACAAACACUAGGGAGCCUUGGGAACUGAAGCUACAGGAGAAUCUGACCCUAGGAUGGAGCAAAACAUGGAAGGACUGAUCAAAAAAAGAAUCCAAGAAUCCAGUAGUUGUUCAGUGCAUGAGGCUGGAUGUCUCCACUGGUCUUCAUACACAUUGGGAUCCUGAAGAAGGAAUGGACUUGCCAGUGAGCGCAAGACCAAGCAGUAUACACACACGAGAACACAAGGCACAUGCACGUACGCACACAUUCACAUACCCUCUCUCUCUCACACACACAUGUGCAUGCAUGUACACACAGGCACAUAGGCACAUGCAUGUACACUAACAUUCUCCACCACCACCCCCCCACACACACAUGCACUUGCAUGCCCUACCUCACCAGCAAGAACCCAAUGUCAGAAGACCAGCCUUGGAAGCAAGAAAGGAAGCCAGCUGCAACAGGUUUGCUGGCGUCUGACUUGAGCAGACGAGGCAACCUGAGCCAAAGGAGCACAAGUUGAAGCCUGUGUUGUAACACUAGCAGAAUCUCAGCGACAG
Long non-coding RNA from Mesocricetus auratus (golden hamster), 797 nucleotides. RefSeq lists it as uncharacterized. The record is from RefSeq and is a predicted model, not a curated record. Lineage: Eukaryota; Metazoa; Chordata; Mammalia; Rodentia; Cricetidae. The transcript has 3 exons.